UAUUAAUAUAUAUAUACCACUAUGUAAAGAACUUCAUUGCUCUUUUAAUUUAGCUUCUCUUUUACUGACUAAUAUUUUGGAUCAAAGUGAGAUCUUCUUUUUUGGCACAAACUUAUAAUCCUAUUAUUUAAUUCUUUCCAGCUGCUGACAUAUAGUACAUAAUUUCAGAUGUUUUAGUAUGUUUGAUGAAUAUUUCUUUUUUUUUUCAAUUUACCCCAUCUGAAAUUACUUCAUAGUCUUUCCAGCUAGUCUUUCCAUCGUUGAUACAUAAUUGCCAAAGUAGCCAAGUUGAACUCCCUACUUUUAAGAUUCUUGAGUCACUACUUUGGAUUCUUCAAAGGUCCUUCGAUUCUAUGCAAUCUGGGAUGAUACAGACAGCAUGUAUGGUGAAUGUCGGACCUACAUCAUUCAUUACUAUCUUAUGGAUGAUACGGUGGAAAUUCGAGAGGUCCACGAACGGAAUGAUGGGAGAGAUCCUUUCCCACUCCUAAUGAACCGCCAGCGUAUGCCCAAAGUUUUGGUGGAAAAUGCAAAGAACUUCCCUCAGUGUGUGCUAGAAAUCUCUGACCAAGAAGUGUUGGAAUGGUAUACUGCUAAAGACUUCAUUGUUGGGAAGUCACUCACUAUCCUUGGGAGAACUUUCUUCAUUUAUGAUUGUGAUCCAUUUACUCGACGGUAUUACAAAGAGAAGUUUGGAAUCACUGAUUUACCACGUAUUGAUGUGAGCAAGCGGGAACCACCUCCAGUAAAACAGGAGUUGCCUCCUUAUAACGGUUUUGGACUAGUGGAAGAUUCUGCUCAGAAUUGUUUUGCUCUCAUUCCAAAAGCUCCAAAAAAAGAUGUUAUUAAAAUGCUGGUGAAUGAUAACAAGGUGCUUCGUUAUUUGGCUGUACUGCUACCGACAUGAUCAGUAUCUUUGAGCCUCCUGUUCGCAAUUCUGGUAUCAUUGGGGGCAAGUACCUUGGCAGGACUAAAGUUGUUAAACCAUACUCUACAGUGGACAACCCUGUCUACUAUGGCCCCAGUGACUUCUUCAUUGGUGCUGUGAUUGAAGUGUUUGGUCACCGGUUCAUCAUCCUUGAUACAGACGAGUAUGUUUUGAAAUACAUGGAGAGCAACGCUGCCCAGUAUUCACCAGAAGCACUCGCGUCAAUUCAGAACCAUGUCCGAAAGCGAGAAGCGCCUGCUCCAGAAGCAGAAAGCAAGCAAACUGAAAAGGAUCCAGGCGUGCAGGAAUUGGAAGCAUUAAUAGACACAAUUCAGAAGCAACUGAAAGAUCACUCAUGCAAAGACAACAUUCGUGAGGCAUUUCAAAUUUAUGACAAGGAAGCUUCAGGAUAUGUGGACAGAGACAUGUUCUUUAAAAUCUGUGAAUCGCUUAAUGUCCCAGUGGAUGACUCCUUGGUUAAGGAGUUAAUCAGGAUGUGCUCUCAUGGAGAAGGCAAGAUUAACUACUAUAACUUUGUUCGUGCUUUCUCAAACUGACCUGCUGAUGAGAAAAUGCAAGACAAUUUUUGAUAUUGGAACUAUGCUUUGAAAUACACCUUACACUCUUCAUAGAGGCAUUUACAGAGUUCCUGAAGCUUUAUUUCUGUUUUGGUUCUUAUUUCACUCCUACUGAAGUCGAAACUAAAUUG
RNAcentral lists this small RNA (1637 nucleotides) under Pan troglodytes (chimpanzee). Its description in RNAcentral is "retained intron". The record is from RNAcentral. Lineage: Eukaryota; Metazoa; Chordata; Mammalia; Primates; Hominidae.